This 1715-nucleotide ribosomal RNA is filed under the name human metagenome. RNAcentral describes it as "bacterial LSU rRNA". It matches the Rfam family "Bacterial large subunit ribosomal RNA", at positions 1118 to 2814 of the family's 2925-position model. The record is from RNAcentral.
ACCAUUUAAAGAGUGCGUAAUAGCUCACUGGUCGAGAGACUCUGCGCCGAAAAUGUCCGGGGCUAAAGUGUAAAACCGAAGUCGUGUCAUAUGCAGCAAUGUAUAUGGGUAGGGGAGCGUUCUCAUCGGGCUGAAGCAGUACCGUAAGGAGUUGUGGACUGAUGAGAAGUGAGAAUGUCGGUAUGAGUAGCGAAAAGAAUGGUGAGAAUCCAUUCCACCGAAAGCCUAAGGGUUCCUGAGCAACGAUCGUCGUCUCAGGGUAAGUCGGGACCUAAGCCGAGGCGGAAUAGCGUAGGCGAUGGACAACAGGUUGAAAUUCCUGUACCGGUGUGAAUCGUUUGAUCGAUGGAGUGACACAGUAAGGUAGGUCAGCACGCGAUUGGAAGAGCGUGUUUAAGCAGGUAGGUUGAGCUAUAGGCAAAUCCGUAGCUCUAAAAGCUGAGAUGUGAUGACGAGCGACUAGCAAUAGUCGCGAAGUGAUUGAUCCUACACUGUCGAGAAAAGCUUCUAGGUAGAGACACAUCGCCCGUACCAAAACCGACACAGGUAGGCAGGGAGAGAAUCCUAAGGUGCGCGGGAAAACCCUCGUUAAGGAACUCGGCAAAAUGCCUCCGUAACUUCGGGAAAAGGAGGACUCAUGUAGUGUGAAGAGCAGAAACGCUUGGAGCAUGAAUGAGUGGCACAAGAGAGGCGCAAGCGACUGUUUACCACAAACACAGGUGCCUGCUAAAGCGAAAGCUGAUGUAUAGGUGCUGACACCUGCCCGGUGCUGGAAGGUUAAGAGGAGGGGUUAGACUUCGGUCGAAGCUCUGAAUUGAAGCCCCAGUAAACGGCGGCCGUAACUAUAACGGUCCUAAGGUAGCGAAAUUCCUUGUCGGGUAAGUUCCGACCCGCACGAAAGGUGUAACGACUUGCGCACUGUCUCAACGAGGGACCCGGUGAAAUUGAAGUACCUGUGAAGAUGCAGGUUACCCGCGACUGGACAGAAAGACCCCAUGGAGCUUUACUGCAACCUAAGAUUGAACUUAGUUAAUGAAUGUACAGGAUAGGUGGGAGACGUAGAACCUAGGACGCCAGUUUUAGGGGAGUCGCUGUUGGGAUACCACCCUUUCAUUAAUUGAUUUCUAACGGGCCGAGUAACGACCGGCCGGACAGUCUUAGGCGGGCAGUUUGACUGGGGCGGUCGCCUCCAAAAGAGUAACGGAGGCGCCCAAAGGUUCCCUCAGAGCGGACGGAAAUCGCUCGAAGAGUGUAAAGGCAGAAGGGAGCUUGACUGCGAGACGGACAGGUCGAGCAGGGACGAAAGUCGGGCUUAGUGAUCCGGUGGUGCCGAGUGGAAGGGCCAUCGCUCAACGGAUAAAAGCUACCCUGGGGAUAACAGGCUAAUCUCUCCCAAGAGUCCAUAUCGACGGGGAGGUUUGGCACCUCGAUGUCGGCUCAUCACAUCCUGGGGCUGAAGUAGGUCCCAAGGGUUCGGCUGUUCGCCGAUUAAAGUGGUACGUGAGCUGGGUUCAGAACGUCGUGAGACAGUUCGGUCCCUAUCCAUCGCGGGCGUAAGAAACUUGAAGGGGGCUGCUCCUAGUACGAGAGGACCGGAGUGGACGAACCGCUGGUGUACCAAUUAUCCUGCCAAGGGUACAGUUGGGUAGCUACGUUCGGGACGGAUAAACGCUGAAAGCAUCUAAGCGUGAAACCAGCCUUGAGAUGAGGUUUCU